Cyprinus carpio (common carp) is the source of this 2721-nucleotide long non-coding RNA. RefSeq lists it as uncharacterized. The record is from RefSeq and is a predicted model, not a curated record. The transcript has 4 exons. NCBI's taxonomy places the organism in Eukaryota, Metazoa, Chordata, Actinopteri, Cypriniformes, Cyprinidae.
UUUGAGGACCGCUCGAGUCGAUUCAACCGAGUCCUUGGAAAGAUUCGACUCAAAAAACGAAUCGUUCGCGAAUCGGACUGUCACUUAACACAGCUCCCGUUAAAACACGUGGUGUGAACUACUAAAACAUGACAAACCCACCGUGCCGGACAGUAUCCUGUGAAUCAUUGCGAAGAACGAUUAAAACCGGGUUCGAGGAGAAAGCUGCGAACGAGGCCAAACCGAUCUCACAAACCGAACGCGGAUCAGAACGCGCUCACUGAGGACAACAGUGCUGUCUGGACAGAUGGAAUCCCUUAAAUCUGUGGCACAAGGUCCUGCACUCUGUUCUCUCCGCUCCCUCUCUGUGAGAGCAGAGUGCAUCUGAGAAGCUCUGGGAUUUAUUCACUGAGAGCCUCCUUCUGACACGGAGCCGCAGCUUGAUAGUGCUCUGGGCCCACUGCAGAAGUGCUGUUUGCUGGAUUUGUAUUCUAGGAGAAAAGGGCUUUUCCCUGCUGUGGAUGAACUGAGAAUGAAGAGAGCGUUUGGUGGAACUGUGUCUGGAUAUGAGAAGAUAAUCUGACAUGGAUGGGUUUCACCAGCACUUCUUGAUUCAGACUCAGCUGUACGGUUAAUGCUCAGCUCUUGCCCCCUCCAUGUCUUCUCUUCGUGAGUGAGCGCCACUGAAAUUAAAAGCUCACUGCUUUUGUUUAUCCAUGGACCUUUUUCACUUUUCUGUGUUUCUCAGCAGCAGAAGUCGUACUUCAAGAGCAGUCAGUGGGAUAAACACAUAUAUUUUUUGCAGGGCUGGAGUGGGACUCAUUUUGAGCUCUGGAGUUUCAUGCCUUAGACCGGCCCACUUCAGUUCACCACUGAGCUAUACUAAAAUAAUGUGCUGCUGUCUGGGAGUCAACAGAUAAUUGCCAAUUAACUUAAAUGGAAAAUAAGGGAAUAUUGUGAUUCUUUAUAAGAAAAUAAGGGACAGAAUGAGGGACGGUCAAAAUAUUUGUACUGUACCAUAAUGUAUGUCUGCCUGCAGUUAAAAAGUUCUCAGAAAUAAUCACAUUUGUUCUGGUUAACCUAUUUAUGUACAAUUAUUCUAAAAAUAAUUUUUAAUGUCAUCUAAAAAAAUGUAAAUUGUACCAUUAUAGAAGUGUGACUGCACAAGUAGUGAAGUAAUUUAGGAGGUGAAGAUACUGUGAAAUUACACACGCACAAAUGGCAUGAGAUAUAAAGCAUAACAACUGAAGAUCUGUGAAGCGCCAGUCAAUAAAGCAUUUUUUAAACAAUAUGGCACUUACAUUUUUGAACUAAAAUAUAUUGCAAUGGGUGAAUGAAAAUGCAUAUUUUUCAAUUACAGAAAAAUUAGAGCGUGUGGGCUGCUUCUGGUGCUUGGUCUUAAAGACUUCCACAAACGGCUAUGUUCACAAAUACAACAACGAUUUGCGCAAAAAGAGUGAUUAAUUAUACAUUAAGAAUUUGUUAUUCAUAUGGUCUGGUGGUCAUAUAGCGUAUGCCUGCGAAUACUGUACAGACUAUGUUAUAGCUUUCAUACGGGACGCUUCUUAAAUACAGGCAUCCGUAAUACCAAUUUGUGAAAAAUCCUAAUUUAACGUAUCAUAUCUUAAGUACUAAGAUAAGAAACAUUAGGUGUGUCCCAUAUCACGAACUUAUGCAUUAUUCCAUGACGUUUUGUAGUAUAAAUAGUGUGAGUAGUGUGUUCACACUGAAUAGUCCAAAAAGAAAAAGUGCAGUUUAAAUACCCGGAUGAUGCACUUCAGUAACCGAACAUAUGAAAUGCUGGACGCUUCAUGCAGUCAACAGUCGCAGCUGUACGUCACAAAGGGGGAGGGGACAUCGGACUCUGAUUAUUAAUGACAAAUAACCUUAUAAUAUUCAUACACUACAUGGUAGAGUACAUAAUGCAUAAGUACAUAUAUAGUGUAUACAGCGUCAUUUGGAGUGCCGGUAUACUGUAAUAGGAGCCCAGAUGAGUCCAGACUAUUCAAUGUAAACAGGGCUUGCCAUAUCACGCGACUGUUAACGACCGUGAGUGUGGUAAGAAAGUGUUAAAUAUAAUAUAUAAUGAGGUGUUUAGUAGGAAGUGAAUGGGGGGCUGAUAGGAAGGCAUUAAAAGCCAUAUAUAGUGGGCUGAUUAGAUCUGUAUUUGAUUAUGGUUGUGUGGUGUAUGGAUCAGCAGCAGAUACAUCACUUAGAAAGUUGUUAUGUACAGGAGCUAUAAAAACUACACCAAUCGUAGCACUACAGGUAGAAAUGGGGGAAAUGUCUUUAGAAAUGAGAAGGAUACAGUUAUCACUGAGUUAUUGGGCUAAUUUACAAGGCCACAGUCAAGAGCAUCCUACACAAGACACUUUAAAGCCCUGUUGGGAAAAAGAGAGGAGAAAAACUAAAAGUUUCGGAUGGACAGUAUUACAGAAAGCAAUAGAAUUCAAAGUUAAUCAAUUAAUAGUUAGUCCAACUAUUGCGCUACCAGUAAUAAAACCAUGGUUACUCUCAGAUGCUACAGUAGAUUUUACAUUGUUAGAAAAGAAAAACAGGGACAAAGAAUGGAGUUCAUGUAAUGUGCAGAAAUAUAUUAAUGAUUACCACAGCUAUGUUCAGAUAUAUACAGACGCAUCAAAGAAUAUAGACAAUAGGAUAGGAGUCGCUUUUAUUGUUCCAGAGUUUCAGUUAGCAAUAAGGAAAAGGAUUAGUGAUGAGUUAUCGGUUUAUACAGGGGAA